ACCUUCGUAGUGUAAUAGGUAAACACGGCAGAGUGGAUAUUUGUAAAAGUGAGUUCGAGUCCCGCCUGAGGUU
RNAcentral lists this transfer RNA (73 nucleotides) under Dictyocaulus viviparus (bovine lungworm). It matches the Rfam family "tRNA". Rfam says of the family: Transfer RNA (tRNA) molecules are approximately 80 nucleotides in length. Their secondary structure includes four short double-helical elements and three loops (D, anti-codon, and T loops). The record is from Rfam by way of RNAcentral. Lineage: Eukaryota; Metazoa; Nematoda; Chromadorea; Rhabditida; Metastrongylidae.